RNAcentral lists this ribosomal RNA (370 nucleotides) under uncultured Methanosaeta sp. RNAcentral's name for it is "bacterial SSU rRNA". It matches the Rfam family "Archaeal small subunit ribosomal RNA", at positions 970 to 1338 of the family's 1478-position model. Lineage: Archaea; Methanobacteriati; Methanobacteriota; Methanomicrobia; Methanotrichales; Methanotrichaceae. The record is from RNAcentral.
GCCGGAUUAGCUGAGAGGUGGUGCAUGGCCGUCGUCAGUUCGUACUGUGAAGCAUCCUGUUAAGUCAGGCAACGAGCGAGACCCACGCCCACAGUUGCCAGCGUACUCUCUGGAGUGACGGGUACACUGGUGGGGACCGCCGCUGCUAAAGCGGAGGAAGGAAUGGGCAACGGUAGGUCAGUAUGCCCCGAAUAUCCCGGGCUACACGCGAGCUACAAUGGUUGGUACAAUGGGUAUCUACCCCGAAAGGGGACGGGAAUCUCCUAAAACCAAUCUUAGUUCGGAUUGAGGGCUGCAACUCGCCCUCAUGAAGCUGGAAUCCGUAGUAAUCGCGUUUCAACAGAACGCGGUGAAUACGUCCCUGCUCCUU